AGACAAAAGCUCCUUGCUUGGUGAUCCAGUGGAUGUUUAAGAGUCUUCUGGAAGUGUAGAAUACACACAAACAUGCCUAGAGGAAAUUAUGGCAUCUUUCUGCUUUUCUGGAUAACCAACUUCAUAUCUGAACCAGCUAAAAUAAAGCCAGGAAAGAACUAGCAGGCUGAAUCUUCUAAGGAACAAAAAGAAGGUAUCAUUUACUAGAAUAUUAAAAUAUUUUUUAAAAUUAGAUGAUUUUGCUUCAGAUCACUUGAACUGUCCCUGGCACUGACCUGUGUGUGACUGAUCCUCUCCCUGCAGCCCUGCUCUUCUCUUGGCUGGUGUGAAUGUACCUCCUCAGGUGAAACCCUGGCUUGAACUUGACCUGCCCAGAGUCCAGAAGAAGGCAAAGGAAUUCCAGGACAGGAGGAGGUAAGCAUUUCCUAAACCAGACCAACAGCACAUCUGCACUGCAAACUCAGCUUGGGCUCAGGUUCCUUUCCCUACCCAGAGAGUGACUUUUCACCCAAAGCUGCUGGUGCUUCAGACCAUUUGAUCUGGCCAUCAUGGCAUUGUGGGCAUGCUCCAGGCUUUUGCUUUCCUUUGGGCUGAAAACACCCAUUUCAAAACAAACCUAAACCACUGGUGGGACCCUUCUGUGCCUGCCGGCCCUCCAUCCUCACUUCUCCCUCUCCACCUGCCUCUUUCCUUUACAUCUCUUCAAAAAGAUUUUGGUGGAGAUCUAUUAUGCAAAAACCUAGGUGGCACAUGUCCUUGGAAGCACCGGUGUCCUGCAGAGCUGGACAUCCACACAAGGAUUUCUGCUUCUUCAACCAGACUGCUCCUGGACCAUGUGUGUGCUCACUUCCCACACCAUGCAAAUUCACGAUGGCGCCCUGCAAAACCAUUGGAGUGUCUCGAGUCAGCUGGGCACAGCUCACAAGUAGCAUUCUGAAGCCAAGUGAUUCUUCCCGUAAACAAAACUGGUUUGCAGGAGCUUGAUUCGGGAAGACAUGACGGCACUGGGUACGUGGCACUGCGAACUGUUCAGCUGUGGGAGCCUGUGUGUACUGAGGCGUUAAUGCAGAACUGUCGGGCAUUGGGCCCAGAACAGAUGUGAUGAUGAGUGAGAGCAAAGAGACAAGGGAGGAAGGAGCAGAAGAAGAAAGCACAUUUUAGGCUUCUCCGUUCCUGCCUAGAUAACCACUGCUUCCAUAACAUGGGAACUGUCCCUAAAUUCCUCUUAUCAAGAGAAAGUAGGAAGCAAAAUGAUCUGUGGAGAAAACAUACUUGUUUUUUUCAUUUGCCAGUCCUGCAAACAAUAGCUGUUUGUAGGCAAAUAAUCUUCAGGUCUGCAUCGCCAGAUCAAUGCAGGGAGUGGUUCCCAUCAGCUCUGCGGUGCCAGACACACUGAAUGGUUUGUAAGGAAACAGGUUCUUGAACUUCUCCACAGCACAGACACUAUCUUAGUAGGUUAUCUCACACUUGCUUCUGUGCCUGCUCCCAUUCUCCUCAUCUUCCAAUGCUUGACCUGGCAGGGAGAAGUGAAGACUAGAUGAAAUAGACCUUGUUUUAAUAGAAAAGGCUUCGAAAUGUUCAGCUGUUUGUUAUUUCCUUGCCACUUACUUUUCCAAUUUACUUUUGGAGCCAGGCUAAAGGAAAGGCCAGUCCUUGUGCACAGUCGCAGUUUAAUACCUCUGAUAUGCAUGAAGAAAAUUAAUUUGACUGAGGAUUUUGCUUCAUGAAGUAAUUACAGCACAAAGCAUAAAAAGGCUGUGUUUUGUCUUGAGCCGCCAAAGUCCUGGUUUGCAUCAUGAGGUCAUGUUUAGGAUUACAAAUGUUUGCACAAAUAGCACCUUAUAGUAUCUUACAUUGCCUCUCUCCACCUUUACUAACAGGAUUUUUGGAGGUGGAGAGGAGCAGGGAAAGAAACUAUUCUUCCGUGACACGUACGUUAAAAUUGAAGCUUAAACCCACAGGGCACAAGAAGAGCACAAAUAUGAGAGGGUGCUGAGUUCAUGGGGAUGCUCACACUCCAAAAUAUAUCCAAUGUGGAUAUAUUUUGGAGUGUGAGCAGUGGAGGAUGGUUGUAGGCACCAGCACAGCCCAAUCAAUUAAGGUUGGAUUGAUACAAGAAAAACCCUCAUGUAGGACAUACCAUUUCCAUGGUAUCUUCAGAAGAGGCUGAUCUUUUUUUAUUUUGAGUUUUUAAAGCAGCUCUCUGGAUUCAAAUCCUUUUGAAAUUGUAUGUGAAUACUUUGAUAAACUGAUUAGAACUAAUUACGGUUAAAAAAAUGGCUGAUUUUUCAUUAAUUUGGUGGUAUUUGCAAUGUGUUUCACAACUGAAGGCAGCACUUUAAUUAUCAUUAUCUUGCAGCCAGAAAAUAUUUGGAAAAAUAAAGUAAAUCAAAAUAUGAUGGCAGAGCACACCUCACUGCCUUCAGAUGGCCAGUCCCUAUCAGUCGGUCACUUCUGCUACCAGGGAGCCCAUAAGAUGCCAAUCACACCACAGUUAAAACAGUCCAUCCUGCUACUCACCUGUAUAAUGACACAUUUGGUCAAGACUGAUGAAAUUUAUGGAUUUUAAGUUUGCUUAGAAGAAUUGACUCAAACUCUAGAGAACUAUGCAUGGGAAAUAAAAGUUACAGGAAUGGUAAACUUCCAAACCCAGAAAAUUCACAGAUUAAAGUCACUGUGGAGAAAAACACUCACCAGCACUUUCUGCCUUACCUGGGUGUUUGGGUGGGAGGUCUGUAGAUUGUGCAAUGACUGCUGGAGCUGAGCUCUGAAUAUCUGUCAUCAGCACUCAGGCUGUGGGUGACUCACAUUGAGAAACUGAAAUUAUGAAGACCCUUCUUUUAUUCAUCACUGCCUGCCUUCUUUCCUCACUGAUAAUACAGGGUCAGCAUCCUCUCAAAAUGACUGGAAAAGGAAACAGUGCAUGUGAAACUCUCAGACACUGCUGUCAUGAGCACCAUGGAAAAACCAUACGGAAAUGAAUAAUUUUGUGCCCAAAGCACAGUUUGAAUAACAGGCAGUAAAAAGCCCCUUCGCUGCACAUUAAACAAGAGGAGAAUAAAUCAUGAGGGGAGCUACUCCCUCAGGAGCAGCAAGCAUUGCCAGUGCAGAGAGAGGGGGAUGCCUGUAGGAAAAGGGCGUGGAUAACUCAAUUACAGUUCAUCUGGAUGAGGAAAACCAGGCAAAUUCUGGACACUCCAGGCUGCUGAAUGCUGGAGCGUAGAGCCUCAGUAGCCUUUCAGAGUAUAUUGUUUCACACACGUAUUUAUGUUUGUGUGUGCAUGGGCUUCAGGGUAUAUGGAAAAUAAGUGGGAUAAGCUUUGGUUCUGUGCCAGGUUGAGUGCUCUACACAGCUACAGCACUGCUGGUCAGCUGGAAGCACAGGCUGAGGUCUAGGUGAAAAAAAGAUAAUCUUUGGAAUAUCAGUUGAUCAGUUUGUAGAAUAUCUGUCAAUGGCUACAGCACCACUGGCUGGGCAAACACAGCCCUCUAAUAUGUGCCCCACUGCCAAGUCUGUCUUUAUCCAUGGGACAGGAUCUAGGGUCUAGAAACACCCUAUUUCCAGGUUGUCUGGAGAUGUCUUCACUGACCAUCUGUAUACAAUUCCCUGCACUUCUGGGCUGGAGCCAGGGCAUAAGAUACGGCAGAGUGUAUUUGGAGAAGUUACCACCAGCAAUAUCCCCUUCAUUAAGGGGAAUUAAUUAAGGUUAAAUAAGGUUGGGAAGUAAGAAAAAUUAAUUCCUACAGGCAUCCCUAAAAGACAGGGAGACAGCAACAUCAUAGUAGGAACAUGUCCUAGGACUGUGCUUGGCCCAGGCAGGCAGGACAGCACAGAGAGCUGUGGUCAGGUCUCACUCACAGUGGCAGAUUUAAGAGUGCACAUGUCCAACCCAACAGUGGGAAGGUGAUCUUUGUUCUGCUUGGCAGAGCAGCGCAGGUGUACUGGCAGUGUAAAAGCUCUCUGUGAGAUGCAGCUCUGCAGAGCAGCUCCAGCAAUCCACAGCCAUUGCUGUCACUGCAGCAGGUUAAGGACACACUGCCGAGAUCUCUGUGACAGGAGAACACAGCAGGGUAACUCAGUAGUGAUGUGGCCUCUCAUUGAUGGAUGCUCUUCCUCCUGCUUGUGUUUCCAACACACUGAUCAACUCUUGCAAACUUAGGUAAAACCCAUUUUUUCAGUCCCUCUAUCCUAGUGAUGGCAUGCCCUUCCUGAGGCACAGGAAUGAAUGUAAAAAUGUCUCACAUUUGUUCUGAUCAGGGCUCUGCUGAUGCUUUUAGGGCUUCUCCCACUCAAAAGUCUGUUGACGUGAGUAUUUCCGCCCUCGUGAUCUGAUAGAAGCACAAAAGACACAUCUGGUGACAAAAGACACAUCUGGUGACAAAAGAUACAUCUGGUGACAAAAGACACAUCUCUUCUGGGGCUGGUGGACUUUCCCUUAUGCCAGGAUUGAGUUUGCCCAACAAGGGACCAGUCAGUGUCCACAAGACUCUUUGACAGCAGAACAUUCUGUUACUCUUCCUGUGACGUUAUCAGAGGAAACACUGCACACAGCUACGUGUAUCCAUUGAAGUCUAUUAUUUCAGCUCGUUCAUAUGUUGCUGACUCACCAUUCAUUCACUUUGUACAACCUUUUAAAAGUCUUACACAUCCCCAAACCCUGUCCAUGGAAUUUCUGCCUUAGAUAUAUCUCACACUGCACCAACAUCAACUUGAAGAGGCAAUAAUUUUCCCAGGAGUGUCUUGUAUAAAAUCUUCCUCAUCAGAGAUAAGAGACAAGCUCAUUCCACAUGAGACAACCCACUGGAAUGACUCUUUAGACACCACUUGUGGAACUUCUUAUUCAUCAUUCUCCUCAUCCUGAUAUUUUGUCCUCUAAUUGCAAAAGUACUUUCCACUUCCACUGAGUGUUUCUGUGGGCAAGGUACAGACAGAAUGGAUAAACUCCACUGGGACUAGUAAUACACUGGGAUAUGGCUAAGAGACUUCUUCUAGCUUGGGU
This is a long non-coding RNA of Taeniopygia guttata (zebra finch), 5000 nucleotides long. NCBI's taxonomy places the organism in Eukaryota, Metazoa, Chordata, Aves, Passeriformes, Estrildidae. The record is from Ensembl.